This 253-nucleotide ribosomal RNA is filed under the name uncultured bacterium. RNAcentral describes it as "partial 16S ribosomal RNA". It matches the Rfam family "Bacterial small subunit ribosomal RNA", at positions 524 to 776 of the family's 1533-position model. The record is from RNAcentral.
UACGUAGGUGGCAAGCGUUAUCCGGAUUUAUCGGGCGUAAAGGGAACGCAGGCGGUCUUUUAAGUCUGAUGUGAAAGCCUUCGGCUUAACCGGAGUAGUGCAUUGGAAACUGGGAGACUUGAGUGCAGAAGAGGAGAGUGGAACUCCAUGUGUAGCGGUGAAAUGCGUAGAUAUAUGGAAGAACACCAGUGGCGAAAGCGGCUCUCUGGUCUGUAACUGACGCUGAGGUUCGAAAGCGUGGGUAGCAAACAGG